Molecule: ribosomal RNA, 252 nt
Filed under: uncultured Lactobacillus sp.
Lineage: Bacteria; Bacillati; Bacillota; Bacilli; Lactobacillales; Lactobacillaceae
Description: partial 16S ribosomal RNA
Rfam family: Bacterial small subunit ribosomal RNA
Source: RNAcentral
UAACACGUGGGGAACCUGCCCCUAAGUCUGGGAUACCAUUUGGAAACAGGUGCUAAUACCGGAUAAUAAAGCAGAUCGCAUGAUCAGCUUUUGAAAGGCGGCGUAAGCUGUCGCUAAGGGAUGGCCCCGCGGUGCAUUAGCUAGUUGGUAAGGUAACGGCCUACCAAGGCGAUGAUGCAUAGCCGAGUUGAGAGACUGAUCGGCCACAUUGGGACUGAGACACGGCCCAAACUCCUACGGGAGGCAGCAGAC